AUACGUAGGGUGCGAGCGUUGUCCGGAAUUACUGGGCGUAAAGAGCUCGUAGGUGGUUUGUCGCGUCGUCUGUGAAAUUCCGGGGCUUAACUCCGGGCGUGCAGGCGAUACGGGCAUAACUUGAGUACUGUAGGGGAGACUGGAAUUCCUGGUGUAGCGGUGAAAUGCGCAGAUAUCAGGAGGAACACCGGUGGCGAAGGCGGGUCCCUGGGCAGUAACUGACGCUGAGGGGCGAAAGCAGGGGUAGCGAACGGGAUUAGAUACCCUGGUAGUCCAUGCCGUAAACGGUGGGCGCUAGGUGUAGGGGUCUUCCACGACUUCUGUGCCGUAGCUAACGCAUUAAGCGCCCCGCCUGGGGAGUACGGCCGCAAGGCUAAAACUCAAAUGAAUUGACGGGG
This 398-nucleotide ribosomal RNA is filed under the name uncultured bacterium. RNAcentral describes it as "partial 16S ribosomal RNA". It matches the Rfam family "Bacterial small subunit ribosomal RNA", at positions 523 to 918 of the family's 1533-position model. The record is from RNAcentral.